This 586-nucleotide ribosomal RNA is filed under the name uncultured bacterium. RNAcentral's name for it is "partial 16S ribosomal RNA". It matches the Rfam family "Bacterial small subunit ribosomal RNA", at positions 355 to 1375 of the family's 1533-position model. The record is from RNAcentral.
UGGGGAAUUUUGGACAAUGGGCGAAAGCCUGAUCCAGCAAUGCCGCGUGUGUGAAGAAGGCCUUCGGGUUGUAAAGCACUUUUGUCCGGAAAGAAAUCCUUGGCUCUAAUACAGUCGGGGGAUGACGGUACCGGAAGAAUAAGCACCGGCUAACUACGUGCCAGCAGCCGCGGUAAUACGUAGGGUGCAAGCGUUAAUCGGAAUUACUGGGCGUAAAGCGUGCGCAGGCGGUUUGCUAAGACCGAUGUGAAAUCCCCGGGCUCAACCUGGGAACUGCAUUGGGUGACUGGCAGGCUAGAGUAUGGCAGAGGGGGGUAGAAUUCCACGUGUAGCAGUGAAAUGCGUAGAGAUGUGGAGGAAUACCGAUGGCGAAGGCAGCCCCCCUGGGCCAAUACUGACGCUCAUGCACGAAAGCGUGGGGGAGCAAACAGGAUUAGAUACCCUGGUAGUCCACGCCCUAAACGAUGUCAACUAGUUGUUGGGGAUUCAUUUCCUAGUAACGUAGCUAACGCGUGAAGUUGACCGCCUGGGGAGUACGGUCGCAAGAUUAAACUUAAAUGAAUUGACGGGGUCAUAGCUGUUUCCU